CUGGCGGCAGGCUUAACACAUGCAAGUCGAGCGGGCGUAGCAAUACGUCAGCGGCAGACGGGUGAGUAACGCGUGGGAACGUACCUUUUGGUUCGGAACAACACAGGGAAACUUGUGCUAAUACCGGAUAAGCCCUUACGGGGAAAGAUUUAUCGCCGAAAGAUCGGCCCGCGUCUGAUUAGCUAGUUGGUAGGGUAAUGGCCUACCAAGGCGACGAUCAGUAGCUGGUCUGAGAGGAUGAUCAGCCACAUUGGGACUGAGACACGGCCCAAACUCCUACGGGAGGCAGCAGUGGGGAAUAUUGGACAAUGGGGGCAACCCUGAUCCAGCCAUGCCGCGUGAGUGAUGAAGGCCCUAGGGUUGUAAAGCUCUUUUGUGCGGGAAGAUAAUGACGGUACCGCAAGAAUAAGCCCCGGCUAACUUCGUGCCAGCAGCCGCGGUAAUACGAAGGGGGCUAGCGUUGCUCGGAA
RNAcentral lists this ribosomal RNA (470 nucleotides) under uncultured bacterium. RNAcentral's name for it is "bacterial SSU rRNA". It matches the Rfam family "Bacterial small subunit ribosomal RNA", at positions 36 to 550 of the family's 1533-position model. The record is from RNAcentral.